AACGAACGCUGGCGGCAGGCCUAACACAUGCAAGUCGAACGCUCCGCAAGGGGAGUGGCGCACGGGUGAGUAACACGUGGGAACCUACCUUCUGGUACGGAACAACCAAGGGAAACUUUGGCUAAGACCGUAUACGACCUCCGGGUGAAAGAUUGAUCGCCGGAAGAGGGGCCCGCGUCCGAUUAGGUAGUUGGUGAGGUAACGGCUCACCAAGCCUUCGAUCGGUAGCUGGUCUGAGAGGAUGACCAGCCACACUGGGACUGAGACACGGCCCAGACUCCUACGGGAGGCAGCAGUGGGGAAUAUUGGACAAUGGGCGCAAGCCUGAUCCAGCCAUGCCGCGUGAGUGAUGAAGGCCUUCGGUUGUUAA
Molecule: ribosomal RNA, 370 nt
Filed under: uncultured bacterium
Lineage: Bacteria
Description: bacterial SSU rRNA
Rfam family: Bacterial small subunit ribosomal RNA
Source: RNAcentral